Molecule: long non-coding RNA, 254 nt
Organism: Scophthalmus maximus (turbot)
Lineage: Eukaryota; Metazoa; Chordata; Actinopteri; Pleuronectiformes; Scophthalmidae
Exons: 3
Source: RefSeq, a predicted model, not a curated record
AGACGUGUCCGGAUGCGAAGCAGGUAAAAUGGAGAUGCCGGGGAUUGAACCCGGGACCUCAUACAUGCGAAGCAUGCGCUCUACCACUGAGCUACAUCCCCAGACGGUGCCUCCCAAGGCCGGUACUUUAAGAACAGAUGAACCCCUCUGCCCUGUAGGGGGCGCUGCAGCAGGGAGCCUGUAACUGUGAAUCCUGUUCGAAGACCAGAGGAUCUGUGUGUGUGUGUGUGUGUGUGUGUGUGUGUGUGUGUGUG